RNAcentral lists this transfer RNA (81 nucleotides) under Saccharothrix ecbatanensis. Its description in RNAcentral is "tRNA-OTHER". Lineage: Bacteria; Bacillati; Actinomycetota; Actinomycetes; Pseudonocardiales; Pseudonocardiaceae. The record is from RNAcentral.
GCGCUUUUAGGCAUUAUCAGGUGUGUUCGAAGUGUGCCCCGACGCAGAAGGUUGCAGGUUCGAAUCCUGCCGAGCGCACCA